Molecule: ribosomal RNA, 2910 nt
Filed under: Escherichia coli
Lineage: Bacteria; Pseudomonadati; Pseudomonadota; Gammaproteobacteria; Enterobacterales; Enterobacteriaceae
Description: bacterial LSU rRNA
Rfam family: Bacterial large subunit ribosomal RNA
Source: RNAcentral
GGGUUGUGAGGUUAAGCGACUAAGCGUACACGGUGGAUGCCCUGGCAGUCAGAGGCGAUGAAGGACGUGCUAAUCUGCGAUAAGCGUCGGUAAGGUGAUAUGAACCGUUAUAACCGGCGAUUUCCGAAUGGGGAAACCCAGUGUGAUUCGUCACACUAUCAUUAACUGAAUCCAUAGGUUAAUGAGGCGAACCGGGGGAACUGAAACAUCUAAGUACCCCGAGGAAAAGAAAUCAACCGAGAUUCCCCCAGUAGCGGCGAGCGAACGGGGAGCAGCCCAGAGCCUGAAUCAGUGUGUGUGUUAGUGGAAGCGUCUGGAAAGGCGCGCGAUACAGGGUGACAGCCCCGUACACAAAAAUGCACAUGCUGUGAGCUCGAUGAGUAGGGCGGGACACGUGGUAUCCUGUCUGAAUAUGGGGGGACCAUCCUCCAAGGCUAAAUACUCCUGACUGACCGAUAGUGAACCAGUACCGUGAGGGAAAGGCGAAAAGAACCCCGGCGAGGGGAGUGAAAAAGAACCUGAAACCGUGUACGUACAAGCAGUGGGAGCACGCUUAGGCGUGUGACUGCGUACCUUUUGUAUAAUGGGUCAGCGACUUAUAUUCUGUAGCAAGGUUAACCGAAUAGGGGAGCCGAAGGGAAACCGAGUCUUAACUGGGCGUUAAGUUGCAGGGUAUAGACCCGAAACCCGGUGAUCUAGCCAUGGGCAGGUUGAAGGUUGGGUAACACUAACUGGAGGACCGAACCGACUAAUGUUGAAAAAUUAGCGGAUGACUUGUGGCUGGGGGUGAAAGGCCAAUCAAACCGGGAGAUAGCUGGUUCUCCCCGAAAGCUAUUUAGGUAGCGCCUCGUGAAUUCAUCUCCGGGGGUAGAGCACUGUUUCGGCAAGGGGGUCAUCCCGACUUACCAACCCGAUGCAAACUGCGAAUACCGGAGAAUGUUAUCACGGGAGACACACGGCGGGUGCUAACGUCCGUCGUGAAGAGGGAAACAACCCAGACCGCCAGCUAAGGUCCCAAAGUCAUGGUUAAGUGGGAAACGAUGUGGGAAGGCCCAGACAGCCAGGAUGUUGGCUUAGAAGCAGCCAUCAUUUAAAGAAAGCGUAAUAGCUCACUGGUCGAGUCGGCCUGCGCGGAAGAUGUAACGGGGCUAAACCAUGCACCGAAGCUGCGGCAGCGACGCUGAUGCGUUGUUGGGUAGGGGAGCGUUCUGUAAGCCUGCGAAGGUGUGCUGUGAGGCAUGCUGGAGGUAUCAGAAGUGCGAAUGCUGACAUAAGUAACGAUAAAGCGGGUGAAAAGCCCGCUCGCCGGAAGACCAAGGGUUCCUGUCCAACGUUAAUCGGGGCAGGGUGAGUCGACCCCUAAGGCGAGGCCGAAAGGCGUAGUCGAUGGGAAACAGGUUAAUAUUCCUGUACUUGGUGUUACUGCGAAGGGGGGACGGAGAAGGCUAUGUUGGCCGGGCGACGGUUGUCCCGGUUUAAGCGUGUAGGCUGGUUUUCCAGGCAAAUCCGGAAAAUCAAGGCUGAGGCGUGAUGACGAGGCACUACGGUGCUGAAGCAACAAAUGCCCUGCUUCCAGGAAAAGCCUCUAAGCAUCAGGUAACAUCAAAUCGUACCCCAAACCGACACAGGUGGUCAGGUAGAGAAUACCAAGGCGCUUGAGAGAACUCGGGUGAAGGAACUAGGCAAAAUGGUGCCGUAACUUCGGGAGAAGGCACGCUGAUAUGUAGGUGAAGUCCCUCGCGGAUGGAGCUGAAAUCAGUCGAAGAUACCAGCUGGCUGCAACUGUUUAUUAAAAACACAGCACUGUGCAAACACGAAAGUGGACGUAUACGGUGUGACGCCUGCCCGGUGCCGGAAGGUUAAUUGAUGGGGUUAGCGCAAGCGAAGCUCUUGAUCGAAGCCCCGGUAAACGGCGGCCGUAACUAUAACGGUCCUAAGGUAGCGAAAUUCCUUGUCGGGUAAGUUCCGACCUGCACGAAUGGCGUAAUGAUGGCCAGGCUGUCUCCACCCGAGACUCAGUGAAAUUGAACUCGCUGUGAAGAUGCAGUGUACCCGCGGCAAGACGGAAAGACCCCGUGAACCUUUACUAUAGCUUGACACUGAACAUUGAGCCUUGAUGUGUAGGAUAGGUGGGAGGCUUUGAAGUGUGGACGCCAGUCUGCAUGGAGCCGACCUUGAAAUACCACCCUUUAAUGUUUGAUGUUCUAACGUGGACCCGUAAUCCGGGUUGCGGACAGUGUCUGGUGGGUAGUUUGACUGGGGCGGUCUCCUCCUAAAGAGUAACGGAGGAGCACGAAGGUUGGCUAAUCCUGGUCGGACAUCAGGAGGUUAGUGCAAUGGCAUAAGCCAGCUUGACUGCGAGCGUGACGGCGCGAGCAGGUGCGAAAGCAGGUCAUAGUGAUCCGGUGGUUCUGAAUGGAAGGGCCAUCGCUCAACGGAUAAAAGGUACUCCGGGGAUAACAGGCUGAUACCGCCCAAGAGUUCAUAUCGACGGCGGUGUUUGGCACCUCGAUGUCGGCUCAUCACAUCCUGGGGCUGAAGUAGGUCCCAAGGGUAUGGCUGUUCGCCAUUUAAAGUGGUACGCGAGCUGGGUUUAGAACGUCGUGAGACAGUUCGGUCCCUAUCUGCCGUGGGCGCUGGAGAAUUGAGGGGGGCUGCUCCUAGUACGAGAGGACCGGAGUGGACGCAUCACUGGUGUUCGGGUUGUCAUGCCAAUGGCACUGCCCGGUAGCUAAAUGCGGAAGAGAUAAGUGCUGAAAGCAUCUAAGCACGAAACUUGCCCCGAGAUGAGUUCUCCCUGACUCCUUGAGAGUCCUGAAGGAACGUUGAAGACGACGACGUUGAUAGGCCGGGUGUGUAAGCGCAGCGAUGCGUUGAGCUAACCGGUACUAAUGAACCGUGAGGCUUAAC